AAAGAUCGCAGGCUUCGUCAGCUCCUACAGGAUUUUGUGGAUUCUUGUAGGAGCUGGCGAAGCCUGCGAUCUUU
RNAcentral lists this unclassified non-coding RNA (74 nucleotides) under Pseudomonas thivervalensis. The record is from RNAcentral. Lineage: Bacteria; Pseudomonadati; Pseudomonadota; Gammaproteobacteria; Pseudomonadales; Pseudomonadaceae.